Molecule: ribosomal RNA, 492 nt
Filed under: uncultured bacterium
Lineage: Bacteria
Description: partial 16S ribosomal RNA
Rfam family: Bacterial small subunit ribosomal RNA
Source: RNAcentral
AGUGAACGCUGGCGGUAGGCCUAACACAUGCAAGUCGAACGGCAGCACAGUAAGAGCUUGCUCUUACGGGUGGCGAGUGGCGGACGGGUGAGGAAUACAUCGGAAUCUACUUUUUCGUGGGGGAUAACGUAGGGAAACUUACGCUAAUACCGCAUACGACCUACGGGUGAAAGCAGGGGAUCUUCGGACCUUGCGCGAUUGAAUGAGCCGAUGUCGGAUUAGCUAGUUGGCGGGGUAAAGGCCCACCAAGGCGACGAUCCGUAGCUGGUCUGAGAGGAUGAUCAGCCACACGGGAAGUGAGAAAGGGUAGAGACUCCUACGGGAGGAAGCAGUGGGGAAUAUUGGACAAUGGGCGCAAGCCUGAUCCAGCCAUACCGCGUGGGUGAAGAAGGCCUUAGGGUUGUAAAGCCCUUUUGUUGGGAAAGAAAAGCAGCAGGUUAAUACCCCGCUGUUCUGACGGUACCCAAAGAAUAAGCACCGGCUAACUUCGUG